CAGUCGCCACGGUAAUACGGAAGGUCCAGGCGUUAUCCGGAUUUAUUGGGUUUAAAGGGAGCGUAGGCUGUUGGUUAAGCGUGUUGUGAAAUGUAGAUGCUCAACAUCUGAAUUGCAGCGCGAACUGUCCGACUUGAGUGCGCGGAAAGCAGGCGGAAUUCGUUGUGUAGCGGUGAAAUGCUUAGAUAUGACGAAGAACUCCGAUUGCGAAGGCAGCUUGCUGUAGCGUAACUGACGCUGAAGCUCGAAAGUGCGGGUAUCGAACAGGAUUAGAUACCCCAGUAGUCCCUGUCUCUUAUAC
Molecule: ribosomal RNA, 301 nt
Filed under: uncultured bacterium
Lineage: Bacteria
Description: partial 16S ribosomal RNA
Rfam family: Bacterial small subunit ribosomal RNA
Source: RNAcentral